GAUGGCUAAGAGCAGCGACUUCGGAUUCAAUCAGCCUGAUUCCAGUUCCAGCAUUUCUGUUCCAGGAUUUUCUGGCCUUGAGGCCUUGGGCAAGGAUACAACUAGAGACAUGGUUAUAUCAUCAAGGCUUUGACUUGAAUGUCAUAUUUGAAAAUGAAACGUGUAAAGUCAGAUAUGACCAGACAGCUUUAAAGAACUAAAGACGCUUGGGCCAAAGUGACCUACGUUGCUUACAGAGCUGGUUCCAGACAGCCUGACCAGGUGGGGCACAGUGCUUUAACCUGGGCCAUCAAGUCUCCCUGUUUCUGUGAGGUAAGUGAUCCCCUUUUGACAAUUAAAGAAAAGCAAGCCAUUAGGAAUUGAUUUACAACAAAAACAGAACAAAGCAAC
Camelus dromedarius (Arabian camel) is the source of this 390-nucleotide long non-coding RNA. RefSeq lists it as uncharacterized. The transcript has 3 exons. The record is from RefSeq and is a predicted model, not a curated record. NCBI's taxonomy places the organism in Eukaryota, Metazoa, Chordata, Mammalia, Artiodactyla, Camelidae.